CGAUGUUCCAACAGACUUGUUUCAGGUGUGUUUGAAGCUACUUGUGAGUGAGUGAGUGAUUGGCUCCCUGACUUUUGAAAAAUAAAGCGUGGUGCGACUCUAGUCAUGUAGGACGGUCUCCUGGCCCCAUGUGCUUGCAGGCUGGCGUGCUGGCUGGCGCAGAAGGCAAAGAGAGUGGUGGCACGUCACCCUCCGGUGCGAACAGCGCCAGGAUCGGGACUUGCUUGCUGUGGAUGCCGUGAUGGGGACACGGUCACCGGCGACUGGCCCCAGCAGUUCUCACAAGCUGUCUCGGCCACGUGGUUUGGGUCUCUAAAGAAAGCAGAGCUGCAAAAGGAAAUGAAGACGCUCGGACAGGGUCCAACCAAGGGCUCCACGCUGCCCUUAGCUAAGACGGUGUCUUCCCUCCUUUCCAUCACCAGACUGCGAGGCCUGUCUGGGGAGAAGAUGCUGGAACAGCCCAGAAACUUCCCAGAAAAGUCCUACAGGCCCAACCUGGACAUCGUAAUGGAGGAUUUCAUGGAGCCCAAGCUCUGACACUCAAACGUGAAAACCAAAACCUGUGCCUUUGGGGUUUGCCCAUGGGCUGCCACUUAACACCCUAUCUGUCCCAUUUGGACCUGGGAGGAGGUUGGCUUGGUUUGGUUUUCUUUCUUUUCUUUCCUUGGGACACAUUGGUUUCAUGGGCCCCAAGGAAAAGACCUUGCAUUUAUUUUUCUUACAUUUCGCUUUAGUAUUAAUAGAUUUAGCUUAAAGACGGCAAGGAAAACCCCGGGAGCUUUUUGGUCUCAGUGGGAGGUAGAUGGGAAACCUCCUGGGAAGAAAACCGAGCUUUAAAAGUUGGGUUCUGGAUUAGAAGAGAGGGUUACCCGGCCACUCAGACCCUCAGUCUCUUCUUCAUCUAAAAAGUGGGCGCGAUGACAAUCAUAGCCACCCCCCCAGGGUUCGCUCUUGGCAUCGUUCUAGUGACUCAGGCCAAUAGCCAAUGACUCCACAGCACGGAACACACCUGCAGGGU
Microcebus murinus (gray mouse lemur) is the source of this 1018-nucleotide long non-coding RNA. Lineage: Eukaryota; Metazoa; Chordata; Mammalia; Primates; Cheirogaleidae. The record is from Ensembl.